UACCCUAACCGUGCGAAGGUAGCAUAAUCACUUGUUCUUUAAAUGAGGACUCGUAUCAACGGCAUCACGAGGGUUCCACUGUCUCCUUUAUCUAAUCAGUGAAACUAAUCUCCCCGUGAAGAAGCGAGGAUACUCUUAUAAGACGAGAAGACCCCAUGGAGCUUUAAACCCAAUUAUAUCUCUAACCACUAUAACCAUUUAACCGCUUAGAACUUAUAUACUUGGUUUUAGGUUGGGGCGACCACGGAGCACAACCAAACCUCCACGAUGAACGGAACAACCCCCUUAUCUGAGAAUUACACUUCUAAGAAUUAGCACACUAACAUAAAAUGACCCAUUAUUGAUCAACGAACCAAGUUACCCUGGGGAUAACAGCGCAAUCCAUUUUAAGAGCCCCUAUCGAC
Molecule: ribosomal RNA, 404 nt
Filed under: Mantidactylus catalai
Lineage: Eukaryota; Metazoa; Chordata; Amphibia; Anura; Mantellidae
Description: partial 16S ribosomal RNA
Rfam family: Bacterial large subunit ribosomal RNA
Source: RNAcentral